UCCAACUUAUCGCUGGCAGUCUCCUGAGAGUGCACCUUUCGGUUAGCAACACAGGACAAGGGUUGCGCUCGUUGCGGGACUUAACCCAACAUCUCACGACACGAGCUGACGACAGCCAUGCACCACCUGUGAAGGUGCCCCGAAGGGAGACCGUGUUUCCACGGCUGUCACCUACAUGUCAAGCCCAGGUAAGGUUCUUCGCGUUGCGUCGAAUUGAACCACAUGCUCCGCUGCUUGUGCGGGUCCCCGUCAAUUCCUUUGAGUUUUAGCCUUGCGGCCGUACUCCCCAGGCGGGGCACUUAAUGCGUUAGCUUCGUUACUGAGAAAGCAAAUUCCCAACAACCAGUUGACAUCGUUUAGGGCGUGGACUAC
Molecule: unclassified non-coding RNA, 372 nt
Filed under: uncultured Actinomycetes bacterium
Lineage: Bacteria; Bacillati; Actinomycetota; Actinomycetes
Description: uncultured actinobacterium contains 16S-23S intergenic spacer region
Source: RNAcentral